Lolium perenne is the source of this 2681-nucleotide long non-coding RNA. RefSeq lists it as uncharacterized. The record is from RefSeq and is a predicted model, not a curated record. NCBI's taxonomy places the organism in Eukaryota, Viridiplantae, Streptophyta, Magnoliopsida, Poales, Poaceae.
CACGUCCUCUCCGGCGCUGCAUCUUCUCCCACUCCCCAGUCUCCUCGAGCUCGCUGUCGCCAAUAUCCCGUCCGCCGUCGUUGCCCCACCUACCCUGUCAUCUUCCACCAAUCCUGCCGACGACCAGCUGCCGCAAACCUCAACGACCCAGGCAGCAGCACCACCAGCAGUAGCACGCGGUGCGCGGCGGCGAGACACGAACAACACUAGCAGUGGCAUCUCAGAGCGUCAAUGUCACGCUAUGGCCGCACGAGCAACGGAAUCUCCCUGCAACGGGAUCCUCUUCCCUUUGAUCGGAUCCAACAAUUCUGACGGGAUCCACCUCUCCUAAAGCCAGGUACUCAACCAUAGCAAAAGUGAUUCAUUCUCUGCACUAAGAUAAGAUGUUAAGAACUCAAUUGGACAGACUACCAGUUAUUUGAGGAAAAUCGUGCCUUACAGCACAAGUUGCAAAACUGCAUUGUCAAUAUUUGAGGCCUGGCUGGAAAUAUAUGAUUCAGCAGUCAUAGUGUCAUUACCAUUGUCGGUGAUGCUCACAUGAGAUCUCUUGGUGGACCAAAACUCCCUGGAACCCUCCUGAGCAACCUAGCAUUAUGUGUGAAUGCCAAUCUUUUGUAUGUCAAGGAUUUCUAGGCAAGCCAAAACUGGUGUGCUUUUUCAGUCAUAAGGAUGCAUCAAGCGAAGAAAAGGUUGUGAUGGUAUCCUGAGAAGCAACCAAUAAAAUGUGAUUGCUGUACAACUUUGAUAUUAGCCUUUUUUGCGGAUAAAUUUGAUAUUAGCCAUUGUUAUGAAUUGUUACACUUGCAGCCGGAGAACUGUGGUUCGCUCGAAAUACACCAGCACGAGCCAUGAACAGAUCGCGAUAUUUCAUUAUGCUUGAAAAUCAGACACCGCUCACCUGUAUAAAAUUCAAUCAUGUAUAACAGUUCUACUAAGGAUUUGAGGAAGCAUGGUAUAUGCUAAUUAAACACUUUCACGUGUUAGCUUGUGCAACCAGAAAAUGCAUUUCUACUUGACAGUCAUGAUAGUUUGUGCUGUUUCUCAUGCCCAUUUGAUGCUAAGAGCUUUUUUACUUAAGUGUGUGCAUGUGUAUGAGUUGGCGUUGCUGAACUAACCCCAUCCUGCUCGUGGACUUCUCUGAUCUGAAGCGCAAGGAGAUACCUCAGCAAGAUAAUUAUGGAUGUUCUCCUCAUAGCCAUGUGCAUCAUCAUGCUCACCCAGCCACCGUGCCAAGGGAGGAUUCCCAGUGGGGCAAGAUGAGAACUCUGAAUCCUCCUGCAAUAAGCUACAUAAACAUGAGCUUUCAGCAGUACUAGAGGAGGCAAGGCCUAGCUAGCUGUUGAACUGGUCUGAAUUUUAUCAUGUCUCGUAUACAUUUAUUCUUUGGAAGAAACCGAUUGACCAUUAUGUUUGCUAUCGCUGAUGCUUUGUGGUUUUUCUUAUGCUUGGCUUUUGUUUCGACCAGAUUUUGUUCUUUGCUGGCACAUGUUGUUGCAUGCAAAGGAGACGCUCAGAGGUCCUAUGAUCAUCACCCGUGAUCCAAUGCAAACAUAAGAUCUUUUUAUAUCUACAAAGAACCACAAAUUUCAGUUUCUAUUUUGUUUGGUUCAAAUUCCUUUCUAAAAAUGAUUAAUUUUGUCAUUGCAAAAAUUCGUUUAGCAAAUCAAACGGAAAGGAGUAGAUAAGGAGAAUCACUGUGUAGUUUUAAAUAGCAUCUACAUUCUGUUUAUAGUUUUACAGAUUCAUCUCUGGCUCGAUCAUGCAAUAUGUAGUGUAGCUGUGUAGUAUAGGGAGUAUGAAGGGAAGACAUACCAUACGUUAUAUAUUAAUAUGUUAAGACACGUUGAAUUUGUUUCUUUCACUUGCAAUGUGACAGGAUUUACCGAGUAAUACUUCCUGCAUAUACUCUCCCUUCUGGCAUAAAGUGGAAGACUCAUUAUGUGGCUACAUCUUACCUGGUUUUGUUUUUAUGUUGAAUCCGUCGAUACAUUAUAUGAUCUUUUUUAGAAAAAUAAGUUGUUGUGUUAUAUAUGCUAGCAAAAGUGCCCGUUUGAAGUCAACAGCCUAUAUACUGACGUCUGAAGUAGUUACUGUUUGUUUACAUACUAUGUAAUGUAUAUCGUUGCUAAAUUAUGAAAUUCAAGUCUUCCAACUAUACACGACUGAAAUAUUAAAUAUUUCUGCUUUGUCCUUUCCUAAUAUUCCAGGCACUUGGGGUAACUGGUAGGUUGGUCAAAUCAUGCCAAAUCGAUUUGUCUGCAGACCAUUUAAGUUUAUAUUGUUGCUCAAACAUUUAUAGAGUCAGUGUCUCUUGGAGGAGUCAUCUUUCUUGCAUACGGUUGACACUAUUAUCAUUAGUAAAUAUCAUUAGUUGAUUGUUUCCUUAAGCCAAGGAAAUAACCAUAGUUUCUGGUGUGAACUUGUGAAAUGCAGAGAAGGAGUUCAUCACAGAGCCGCCACCUGAGCUGCGCUUUAAUGGAUGAGGUCCGAUGACUAGGAGCUAGCAGCAGGUCCUCAGCAAACAUUACUCAUAUCCAGGAGCAUAAUCGAUUAAUGCAUCAACUACAUAGCUAGCCAUCUUUGUAGAGCACAGGUUCCUUCAUAGAUAGCCAGCUUUGUACAUUGCAUUCUCUUUUGUGAAUAAAUACUUCUGUAGUCUUACUUGUUAUAUUAUUAAAUUU